This 595-nucleotide ribosomal RNA is filed under the name Antennella siliquosa. Its description in RNAcentral is "partial 16S ribosomal RNA". It matches the Rfam family "Bacterial large subunit ribosomal RNA", at positions 1844 to 2598 of the family's 2925-position model. The record is from RNAcentral. Lineage: Eukaryota; Metazoa; Cnidaria; Hydrozoa; Leptothecata; Halopterididae.
ACUUAAAGAUGAUGCCUGCCCAGUGGUUUAUAAAGUAGAAAAAAAUCUUAAAAUUUAAUUCAACGGCCGCUGUAUUCCUGACGGUGAUAAUGUAGGAAAAUAAAUAGUUGUUUAAUUGACGAACGUAGGUGAAUGGCUUUACGAGGUUUCCACUGUCUUAAAUAUAAAAAUCAAAAAAUUUAAAUAAUAGUGAAGAUGCUAUUUAAAACUGUAAGACGAGAAGACCCUAUAAAGCUUCACUAUAUUCUCAAAUUAUUUAUUAACACAUCUAUUUGUGUUUUUCUUUUUUGAGAGUGGUAGUUUGGUUGGGGCAACAGCAUUUUAAAAAUAAAAAAUGCAGCAUAUCAUAAUAUGUAAUAAUAUUAUAUUAUUGUUUAAUUCAUAAAUUUAACAAUCACAAAGUGGGUAUAAUGACCUGUCUUUUUUUUAAUUUAAUUAAUGACAAUAAAUAAAUAAAAGCUACUUUAGGGAUAACAGGUUAAUUUCAUCCUAAAGAUGCUAUUGAAGAUGGAGUUUGACACCUCGAUGUUGAAUUAAGUUAUCCUAGUAAUGCAGCAGUUACUAAAGGUUGGUCUGUUCGACCAUUAAAAAUCUU